CACGUCUUGAGAGUGUCCUUGUAGCAUGAAGAGUCUUCAAAACUUGUCGAGUCGCCGAAGGAGAUAACGAAGAGAUGGCACAUCAGAGGUAGACACCGCAUCACUUGAAGAUACAAGAUAAGUAUCAAGAGAAGAUGGGUUGUCAAAAGAAGAUGUCACAUCAGAGGAAGACACCGAAGAGAUGCCACAUCAGAGGAAGACACCGCAUCACUUGAAGAUACAACAUAAGUAUCAAGAGAAGAUGGGUUGUCAAAAGAAGAUGGCACAUCAAGAAAAUAAAGCAUUGUGCAGAAAUUCAUAGUCCACGACAACCGUCGGCGAAAGAAGCUCGGCGGAUAAGGCACGAUGGAC
RNAcentral lists this long non-coding RNA (351 nucleotides) under Hordeum vulgare. RNAcentral describes it as "long non-coding RNA (HVUL_LNC002154)". Lineage: Eukaryota; Viridiplantae; Streptophyta; Magnoliopsida; Poales; Poaceae. The record is from RNAcentral.